GCGGCGCGUGGGCCUGCGCGUGAGGAGGGCCGUUGGAAAGGUGUCAGGCGCGCGGCUCCCGGAGGCGGCGACACGACGCGGAGUUAACCGUUGUCGGGGGGGGCGCACUUGGCGUAACCCAGAGCUGCAGUGAGGCUGGAGCUCAGUGAGCGCCCGGGGUGGCGCUGGAGGCCGGGAAGGGUCCUUCUCCCGGAGUCUGGUCGCUAAGCCGCGUGGGGUCCGGUCCCGUUCUCCGUCCGCUGCCCCUUCCUCGGCCCCGGGCCCUGCAGAUGCGCGUUAAGGACCCUGGUUGGCCCGUUGGCGUCCGCUCCGCUCGCCCCCUCCAGGCUCUGCUGGGAAGCAAUGGUUUUCAACUUUUCCCCUUAAUAUACUUUUCUUCUUAAUAUUUCUGAGGGUUGUCAUUCCAACCUGGGCUGUUGCUCAUGGCCCACGCUAUGCAGCAAGCUUUCUCAAAACCUGGAGUCUGUCACAGACCUUUACUUCAGCCAGCAACACACCUGUUAACCUGGCCAAGGCACCUCUUCAUCUCUUAGUUCCUGCUCAUAGGUUUGUGUGCUUAUUGAUGCCAUUCCUGAAUUUCCCAAGCAAAAUUACCCUUUUGUCUCAGUUUUCACACUCUGUUUCUCCAUUAUUAAGGACACAGUCAAUAUACUUCAGCCAAACUUCCCCUUUCCACUUCCCCCCGCCCCCCACACCCUGCAAAAAAGAAAGGAAAAAAAGAUACACCUGUACUUGAGAGAC
This 741-nucleotide long non-coding RNA is filed under the name Dasypus novemcinctus (nine-banded armadillo). Its description in RNAcentral is "lncRNA (ENSDNOG00000050979.1)". Lineage: Eukaryota; Metazoa; Chordata; Mammalia; Cingulata; Dasypodidae. The record is from RNAcentral.